RNAcentral lists this long non-coding RNA (2694 nucleotides) under Salmo salar (Atlantic salmon). RNAcentral describes it as "lncRNA (ENSSSAG00000108412.1)". The record is from RNAcentral. Lineage: Eukaryota; Metazoa; Chordata; Actinopteri; Salmoniformes; Salmonidae.
CACUGAUUACACAACAGCUAGUAAAAUGCAUCUCAGAGGCAUACUCAUGUAAAGCUUUAAUAACAAACAUGUUCUUCAUCACGCGACCCUUGAAUAUUCAAAGUCGAGAACCUAAAAGCGUCGAGGAGGGAAAUACAUCUCUAUAUUUUAAAAGGUUUUGGCGAUAUAUUAUUAGCCUAGCUGUCUCUACGCUGAAAAAUCCAGUUCGGUUUUUCCGCGAAGCUCCAAAAAUCUAUGAAAUGUGUUUGCAUGUUCUUCUCCGCGAGCGGGGAUGUAGAGGUGGGAUUGCGAGAAUCGAAAGGUUGGAGAGCCCGCACGCUCAGCUUCCGAGAAAGUACGUUUUACAAUAAUGUAUUAUUCUAUUUCUCUCUUGUUCUAUACAGGCUAGGAGUAUAUUAAUUCAGUUGGUUUAGUGUAAGGUUGUCUUUCUUUUUUUUUUUUUACAUCAAUCUCUACGGUAGGCUUGGAGACGGUCCGCUUGGACAGUGGGAGCCCUCCCCUCCUCUUCGUUCUGGUUUGGUAGGUGCGAAUAAAAAAGGGCCCGUGUUUGCAAAUAUGCAGAUAGGCUACAUAAGAGGGAGGGAGGGGGGAUCAUACUUUGUCGAAGUCUGCUGAAAGUUGGGAUGUCAUCUUCCUAACGAUCAAGUUAACUAGGGGAAUGGGAGAAUGGUUCUUCUAUCUAUACCCUCAAACGUGCUGGUGCAGACCAUACGCUGGCACCGCAGAGACCGUGGUUUCAGAUCAUUGAGUCUAGACAAAAGGUGAUGCUUCCUACAGGAGCAGCAUUUCGGUGGUUCCAGUAAGACUCUGACCCUCCACUCUAACCCUUACCUACACAAACCCAAAGCUCUGCGAUCAAGUGCAAUGCCAACUCUCGCUUCGAUUGUAUCGGGCAUGGACACUGGCUGACAAGAAAACUUACAACAAAUAAAAAGAUAUAAAAAAAAAUUACGAAACAGGAAUGAUACAAAAUAAUCAACUGAGUAAUGGAUGCACCUAAUUAUUCCUUGAACCAAAAAUUAAAUAUAAAGAAAAUAAUCUAUGGCAACUUUCAUUCAUUCCCUUUUCUAUGUUCCCAUUUUGGUACAUUUUGUCCUGUUUCCAGCAGGUCUUUUCUGUCGCUCAGACAUGGAACUGUUCAUUGCUAAACAGAAAUGACUGACUGAGUGUGGACAAUCAACACAUGUCUGUGUUUGGUGUUAAUGUUGUUCACAUGUGGAAAGAUACAGUACUUGUGUAGAGAAUGUACAUUUAUGGCUAUAUUUUAAAACUAGUGGCUAAUGGCAGGCACUAUUGUAAUUUAGCACCAUUGUUCUUAUCUAAACCCUUGUCUAUUUUAUGAUUUAUAUUGUUGCAAGAAUAUAGUUUGAAACGGAUCAAUGGUUGUCUUUUAAAAGAAAAAGGAAAUGUUUCAAAAUGUAAAAAUCCAGAUUUCUGAUUCAAAUGAAAAAGCAACUCUCAUCCUAUGGGGCAGAAGUCUAGGGGACUCUUUAGCAGGAUGAUCCUAACCUCCAGAGAACUCACUGGAAUCUCCCCAACCAACCAACCAACCAACCAACCAACCAACCGUGUUUUCCUCGCCUGUAUUUCCAAGCUUUUUAUUUAGUGAAACUGGCAGCCUUACGUUCCUAUGGCCCUAGCGACUGUGUCUGGCAUGAGGAGGACAGAGGGCGACAUCACUAGGAGGCACUUGUUCUGAGUCUACCCAUUUGAACGCACUGAAACAUGAAUUUAUUUGUAUUUUUUAUUUGUUAAUUUUUUUAAAUUAUGUUGCUGGUAGCUACAUCUUUUAAAAACAACAGCGAUGUUUGUAUUCAUUUAGAAAAUUGGACUGGUUUUGUGAAUAAAAACGAAUGCAUGUAUUUGUGUAAAAAUUUACAGUUCUGAUGUUUGUCUACUUGUCUUUGCAUGUUUUUUUCCCCUAAAACAGCGGGUGAAGUAUGAAAAUGUCCGGUAAAUCUUUCAAAUUUGUUCCCUUUUCAUAUCAUUGGAUGCUAUAAUUUAAAAAAAAAAUAUUGGGCGAGAAAUACAAAUCAUUAAAGCAGAAGGAGGAAAUGGUGUGUUUCAUUCAGAUGUUUCCUGUUGCUCUAGCAUAGAUACCCAAUACAAACAACACUGGUAGUGACAGGGUAGGAACCAAAGUUUUGGUGAGUGUUUCCCAGUGUUUCCCAGGGGGCCCUAAUUAGUGUUCCUCAUGAAAGAGUGUUGUACUUGAAGGUUCUAUGUAGAGAUAGUGUGGAGUUGUUGCAAUGGGUAGAUUGAUGUACAGGUAACUGCCAAAAUAAAGGAUACAUCAACAUAAAGUGUCUUAAUUGGGCGUUGGGCCAGAACAGCUUCAGUGCACCUUGGCAUAGUAGAGUCUACAAGUGUCUGGAACUCUGUUGGAGGGAUGCAACACCAUUCUUCCACGAGAAAUUCCAUAAUUUGUUUUUUUGUUGAUGGUGGUGGAAAACACUGUUUCAGGUGCUGCUCCAGAAUCUCCCAUUAGUGUUCAAUUGGGUUGAGAUCUGGUGACUGAUACACUCGUGCCCUGUGGAUGGGGGCAUUGUCAUCCUAUAGCCAUGGUAGACAAAAUAAUGGCCUGCCCAGAAUUUGUUUACAUGACCCUAAGCAUGAUGGGAUGUUAAUUGCUUAAUUAACUCGGGAACCAUACCUGUGUGGAAUCACCUGCUUUCAAUAAACUUUGUAUUCCUC